Molecule: ribosomal RNA, 156 nt
Filed under: Pteris cretica
Lineage: Eukaryota; Viridiplantae; Streptophyta; Polypodiopsida; Polypodiales; Pteridaceae
Description: 5.8S ribosomal RNA
Rfam family: 5.8S ribosomal RNA
About the family: 5.8S ribosomal RNA (5.8S rRNA) is a component of the large subunit of the eukaryotic ribosome. It is transcribed by RNA polymerase I as part of the 45S precursor that also contains 18S and 28S rRNA. Functionally, it is thought that 5.8S rRNA may be involved in ribosome translocation.
Source: RNAcentral
AAAACUUUUAACAACGGAUCUCUUGGCUCUCGCAUCGAUGAAGAACGCAGCGAAAUGCGAUAAGUAAUGUGAAUUGCAGAAUUCAGUGAAUCAUCGAAUCUUUGAACGCACCUUGCGCCUUUUGGUAUUCCGAAAGGCAUGCCUGUUUGAGUGUCA